This 420-nucleotide ribosomal RNA is filed under the name uncultured bacterium. Its description in RNAcentral is "bacterial SSU rRNA". It matches the Rfam family "Bacterial small subunit ribosomal RNA", at positions 355 to 775 of the family's 1533-position model. The record is from RNAcentral.
UGGGGAAUCUUGCGCAAUGGACGAAAGUCUGACGCAGCGACGCCGCGUGGGGGAUGAAGGCUUUCGGGUUGUAAACCCCUGUUGCCCGGGACGAACUUCUGGCUGUGGCCAGAUUGACGGUACCGGGUGAGGAAGCACCGGCUAACUCUGUGCCAGCAGCCGCGGUAAUACAGAGGGUGCGAGCGUUGUCCGGAAUCACUGGGCGUAAAGGGCGCGUAGGUGGCGCGGCCAGUCAAUGGUGAAAGCUCGACGCUCAACGUCGAGUCGGCCACUGAUACUGCCGCGCUGGAGCACUGUAGAGGCUCAUGGAAUUCCGGGUGUAGCGGUGGAAUGCGUAGAGAUCCGGAAGAACACCGGUGGCGAAGGCGGUGAGCUGGGCAGUUGCUGACACUGAGGCGCGACAGCGUGGGGAGCAAACAG